GAUGAACGCUGGCGGCGUGCUUAACACAUGCAAGUCGAACGGUGAAAGCGGAGCUUGCUCCGCUGGAUCAGUGGCGAACGGGUGAGUAACACGUGGGCAACCUGCCCCUCACUUCGGGAUAACUCCGGGAAACCGGGGCUAAUACCGGAUAUGACCUCCUUGGGCAUCCUUGGAGGUGGAAAGUUUUUCGGUGAGGGAUGGGCCCGCGGCCUAUCAGCUUGUUGGUGAGGUAGUGGCUCACCAAGGCGACGACGGGUAGCCGGCCUGAGAGGGCGACCGGCCACACUGGGACUGAGACACGGCCCGGACUCCUACGGGAGGCAGCAGUGGGGAAUAUUGCGCAAUGGACGAAAGCCUGACGCAGCAACGCCGCGUGCGGGAUGACGGCCUUCGGGUUGUAAACCGCUUUCAGCAGGGAAGAAGCCGCAAGGUGACGGUACCUGCAGAAGAAGCACCGGCUAACUACGUGCCAGCCGCCGCCGUAA
This 485-nucleotide ribosomal RNA is filed under the name uncultured bacterium. RNAcentral's name for it is "partial 16S ribosomal RNA". It matches the Rfam family "Bacterial small subunit ribosomal RNA", at positions 28 to 523 of the family's 1533-position model. The record is from RNAcentral.